AGGGCUGAGCCCGAGGGGAGCAGAACCGGGGGCACAGACAUGGGCACGGCCCCCAGUUGUAGGUU
Molecule: long non-coding RNA, 65 nt
Filed under: Numida meleagris (helmeted guineafowl)
Lineage: Eukaryota; Metazoa; Chordata; Aves; Galliformes; Numididae
Description: lncRNA (ENSNMEG00000001618.1)
Source: RNAcentral